UACGGGGGAUGCAAGCGUUAUCCGGAUUUAUUGGGUUUAAAGGGUGCGUAGGCUGUGAGGUAAGUCAGCGGUGAAAUGCCCCCGCUCAACGGGGUGAAGUGCCAUUGAUACUGCCUUGCUGGAAUGCGGAUGCCGUGGGAGGAAUGUGUGGUGUAGCGGUGAAAUGCAUAGAUAUCACACAGAACACCGAUUGCGAAGGCAGCCUGCUGGACUGUAACUGACGCUGAUGCUCGAAAGUGUGGGUAUCAAACAGG
RNAcentral lists this ribosomal RNA (254 nucleotides) under uncultured Bacteroidales bacterium. RNAcentral's name for it is "partial 16S ribosomal RNA". It matches the Rfam family "Bacterial small subunit ribosomal RNA", at positions 524 to 776 of the family's 1533-position model. The record is from RNAcentral. Lineage: Bacteria; Pseudomonadati; Bacteroidota; Bacteroidia; Bacteroidales.